UACAGAGGUCUCGAGCGUUGUUCGGAUUCAUUGGGCGUAAAGGGCGCGUAGGCGGCGCUGUAAGUCGGGUGUGAAAUCCUGAGGCUUAACCUCGGAACUGCAUUCGAUACUGCGGCGCUUGAGGACUGGAGAGGAGACUGGAAUUCAUGGUGUAGCAGUGAAAUGCGUAGAGAUCAUGAGGAAGACCAGUGGCGAAGGCGGGUCUCUGGACAGUUCCUGACACUGAGGCACGAAGGCCAGGGGAGCAAACGGG
Molecule: ribosomal RNA, 253 nt
Filed under: uncultured bacterium
Lineage: Bacteria
Description: partial 16S ribosomal RNA
Rfam family: Bacterial small subunit ribosomal RNA
Source: RNAcentral